GGUGCUUCCCCAGAGUCAUCAUGGCUGAGUCAUUUCUGAAGACAAAGAAACACUUCCCUGCCUCAAAGAGUUUGCCUCUUAUUUAACGCCCAGCUUGGAGCUUGAGGGGUUGGAUAUGCACUGGGCAGGACAGUGACCAAAUUUAUUUCAGACAGCUCCAGGAGGAAUUUUGUUUUCAAAUGCACAACAUAAAUUUUAAUGGAAAACCUUUUGGAUUUAUGCUACGACUUGAACCACUGCAGGUAUAACUAAUCUGUUACUACCAUACAAGUGUCCUCUAGACACACUUUUUUCUUCCCUUUGGAGUCAGCCUGCAGCACUUAGAAAAAGACUGUCUAAAUAUUAAUCCAAAAUAGGAAAAGAGAGAUUGUACAUUAUCAACCCUACACAAGUACAUGCUGAUAGCCACAGCAACAGGUGCAGAUAUGACUUAAAAUAGUGAACAAUUGCUCAUUGUCUGAAUUCUGCAAAGCAUCUUUAACUUUGGUUUUUACAGAUGCAGUACACAGUUAAGUAGCCAGUAGCCAAAGAGAACUUCUCAAAUGCAAAUUAUUUGUUCUGCAUAGCACAGUAGUAUUAGGCAUUGAUGAUAUCUGCUGGAGCAGGCACAGAAUACAAGUGGUAGAACAAAGUGAAUUAUGAAAUCACAGUCCAAAAUCCCAGGCAUAUUCAGCCAGGGAAAUGAAAUGGACAUGAGAACAACAGUAAUUGCUCCAGUGAUUAGGAUGUGAAUAUACACGGACAUCACUCCAUAUCAAACAAAUAUGGUGCUAUUCUGGCUUCUCCUUUUGACAUAAGUUGUUGUGUUUGCUGAUUGUGUCAAUAAAGGGGAAAUCUUUAGGGUAUCUGCUGCUUCAUUUGAUUCUGUACACCUCAUUUUGUUUACCUAAUUACUACAUAAUGCAAAUAUUCCUAGUAGAAUCAGAGUUCAGUAUCUAUUCCUUUUUUCUUCCACACUGCAUGCACAAAAUCUUCUUAGAUAUUUUUGGCCUCACGUUUAUGUAGUUUAUUUACUAGUAAAGUACUGCAAGUGCAGGCUUUCUGCAGCUGUUUUAACUCACCAUCCUAUAUGCAAACCACUCAAUACUACCAUGCUUCUUACAAAAAAUAAAAAAGCCACCCUACAGUAAACCAAGCCAAUUUCUUUUCAAGCAAGUCAUGUUUGGCAUUGCUAACAGAACAAUGAGCAUUUCUGAAUGAUUAAAUCCUUGAGAGCAUUUAACUCCACGGGAACCCCACAGCAAGUGACACUUAGCAAUUUGCUCCCCUCUUGUGGAAGCUGAAAAACCGGCCAAGGAAAGGUUUGCUGCACUUCCUUGGGGAACCAUAACCUCUGUAGUUGUGGUGAGCAAAAAAAUAUUCCCCCAGAAUGCUUUCCUUCCCUAUGCUGAUUCUUUGUACCCCAUUGGUCCUUCCCCUUUGCUCCACCCCUGUGCCCUCACCCUAUUUGUUCCAGUGUUCUGCCCUGCCCUUCGCUAUUCCUGUAUAAACCCCCACUUUCCCUCUGACUCUCUGGAGCUCUUGUCCCUGGCACCCUUCACAGAGUGCCCCUGCUCACAAUAAAGGCUUGUUCUCUGUGCAUCACCAUACAAGGCUCUUGUCUCUUGCCUAUGCAUCGCCCAAGAGUGGAUCUGUGGGUUGUGCUUGUGCAUCCGAGAGCGUGAUCUUUUUAGGACACUUCUUUUGAGGAAGGUCGCGGCGCUCCCAAAGACUACUUCCCACUGUGACACCCUCUAACUGAAACUUAUGAUUGCUUUUUACAUUUGCAAUUAUAGAAGCCACCAUAGAUGAGAUGGUUAUGGUCCUCUCAGCAUAUUCUCAGAAGCCUAUUGUUCUGUGAUUUGUCUUCCCAGAUAAAAUAAUAUUGCAGUUUGUGGUGUGAAUAUUACAAAUCAGUAAUGCUUUACAAAAAUAGGGGCAACCUACAUUGUCUUUGAUUUCUCUCAAUAUCUGAGUGUACUAGUAAGCGUAUUAAUACUAUUUAAAAGUCUUUUUUUUUUUUUUUUUUUACUAUCAAAGAUUUACUUUGUUGUUUUAUCCCUUUCUGUGAUUCCCAAUGUUAUAAAUGAAUAAUGCGAUGGUUGACUCUCACAAUUAAGGGGUGAAUAUUAAGUGUAUAUUGAGAGAAGUUUUGUAGAUGUAUAGUUAUGUUUCUCCUCCCCUUUGCAUUGUUAUCACGGGAUGGCCUUAGUACUCGGCCAUUUGGGAGGCUUGGCUUGUUACUAUGGCAACACCUGACCUCCAAUCAAGAUGCAAGAAAGUGAUCUCCACCACUGGACAACAAGGAAGGAGCCGAUUAACAAGACUUUGGGAGGGGAUAGAGGUAUAAAAGGUGGAGCAUCCAUUUUGUAGUCGAGCACAUGGUGGUUGAAUCCUUUGCUCCUGGCGCUGUAUUUUUCCUUAUUUAGUCUUCUGUUGUAUUUUGAUAAGGUCUUAAUAAACCUUUUAAAUUUUUAAAA
Long non-coding RNA from Passer domesticus (house sparrow), 2459 nucleotides. RefSeq lists it as uncharacterized. The record is from RefSeq and is a predicted model, not a curated record. Lineage: Eukaryota; Metazoa; Chordata; Aves; Passeriformes; Passeridae. The transcript is spliced from 2 exons.